UAAUAUACACUAUCAAUAGUGUAUAUUUAUGAUUUUGAUAGAAUUUAAUAAAUGAUGUGCCUUGAAUAGGAUUUGUAUGGAUUUGAUUGAUUGACUCUUGGUGAGGAAUUUUAAAAUAAGCUAAGGACCUAAGGCAAGUAAAUCUCCCCUUUUGUGCUUAAGUGUAAGAUGCAUGACUACAUUGAUUGUGUACAUCUGACGAGUUAAGUAUGGUAUGAUGAUGAUGCAUAUGAUAAGUAUGUGAAAAAUGGUUAUAUGAACACCAUAAGGGUGUUGUGUGAUAUGUAAUUGAUGAAUUAUGUGAUAUGUGAAAGAUGUCUUACUUGGUUAAGAAUGAUAUGAAUUAUGUGCAAGUAUGUGUUCUUAUGUUGAUGGAUAUGUGGAUUACUCUAUGUUCAUGAUUUGUUAUAUGUUAUGAUAUAUGAAGCGUUUAAGUUUUUAGGCUGGAAACCUUAGACCUGAGCCAUAGCUCUACGUUAAGGUAUAACAACGCCACCAACCCAAAGCUUCAUGUAUUAUGACUAAAGAUGUUUUGAGUUAUAUGAGAUGUGAUACAAUGCCUUGAUUGAAUACCAUCAACACGAAUCAUGAACAUGAACAUUGGCAUUUCAGCAUCAGCAUGUAUGCAUGGCAUGUACAGUUAUGUGAUACAUUAUUAUGUGAUAUAAGACCAUGCAUAUGAAUAUGAGAAAAGUUAUGAAAUGCCUUGAAAAGUCUUAUGUAAAGUUAAACAUUUUAAUGACACAAGGCUUAAGCAAAAUGAUAAUAAGAUGUUUAAAAAGGGUGCCACUGUUUUGAUGAAGCAAUCAAGUAAGUUCAGUAAAGAAGACGGAAGUCUAUAAGACUUAUAGUGGCUGCCCACUAGUGUGGGCUAGGUCAGAGUUGACCAUUCAGAUAUGUUUGCCAUGUUUCCGUCUUUCUCCUCCAUAUGUGUAAUAAGUAUGGCAGCUAUGGCAACGAUGAAAUGAGUGUUAUGAUGAGCCUAGCUGAGAUGAUGGCUAGCCGGAGGAGAACCCAUGGGAUUCUAUAUGAUAUGUGUAACAAGCCCUGCAGGCAUUGGCUGAAUCAAACAGUGUGCACAAGAGAUAUUGGGCCCAUAAAAAUGUGGAACUAAAAGAAAGAGCAUAAAAGUAAAGUUUGAAAGUGCAUGAGCAAUAAAUGAAAUGCAUAAGUAUAUAAGUCAGCAUAUUAGUAUAUGUGCACUACAAACUCACGACAUUCAUGUGCAAGUAAAUCUCCCCUUUUGUGCUUAAGUGUAAGAUGCAUGACUACAUUGAUUGUGUACAUCUGACGAGUUAAGUAUGGUAUGAUGAUGAUGCAUAUGAUAAGUAUGUGAAAAAUGGUUAUAUGAACACCAUAAGGGUGUUGUGUGAUAUGUAAUUGAUGAAUUAUGUGAUAUGUGAAAGAUGUCUUACUUGGUUAAGAAUGAUAUGAAUUAUGUGCAAGUAUGUGUUCUUAUGUUGAUGGAUAUGUGGAUUACUCUAUGUUCAUGAUUUGUUAUAUGUUAUGAUAUAUGAAGCGUUUAAGUUUUUAGGCUGGAAACCUUAGACCUGAGCCAUAGCUCUACGUUAAGGUAUAACAACGCCACCAACCCAAAGCUUCAUGUAUUAUGACUAAAGAUGUUUUGAGUUAUAUGAGAUGUGAUACAAUGCCUUGAUUGAAUACCAUCAACACGAAUCAUGAACAUGAACAUUGGCAUUUCAGCAUCAGCAUGUAUGCAUGGCAUGUACAGUUAUGUGAUACAUUAUUAUGUGAUAUAAGACCAUGCAUAUGAAUAUGAGAAAAGUUAUGAAAUGCCUUGAAAAGUCUUAUGUAAAGUUAAACAUUUUAAUGACACAAGGCUUAAGCAAAAUGAUAAUAAGAUGUUUAAAAAGGGUGCCACUGUUUUGAUGAAGCAAUCAAGUAAGUUCAGUAAAGAAGACGGAAGUCUAUAAGACUUAUAGUGGCUGCCCACUAGUGUGGGCUAGGUCAGAGUUGACCAUUCAGAUAUGUUUGCCAUGUUUCCGUCUUUCUCCUCCAUAUGUGUAAUAAGUAUGGCAGCUAUGGCAACGAUGAAAUGAGUGUUAUGAUGAGCCUAGCUGAGAUGAUGGCUAGCCGGAGGAGAACCCAUGGGAUUCUAUAUGAUAUGUGUAACAAGCCCUGCAGGCAUUGGCUGAAUCAAACAGUGUGCACAAGAGAUAUUGGGCCCAUAAAAAUGUGGAACUAAAAGAAAGAGCAUAAAAGUAAAGUUUGAAAGUGCAUGAGCAAUAAAUGAAAUGCAUAAGUAUAUAAGUCAGCAUAUUAGUAUAUGUGCACUACAAACUCACGACAUUCAUGUGCAAGUAAAUCUCCCCUUUUGUGCUUAAGUGUAAGAUGCAUGACUACAUUGAUUGUGUACAUCUGACGAGUUAAGUAUGGUAUGAUGAUGAUGCAUAUGAUAAGUAUGUGAAAAAUGGUUAUAUGAACACCAUAAGGGUGUUGUGUGAUAUGUAAUUGAUGAAUUAUGUGAUAUGUGAAAGAUGUCUUACUUGGUUAAGAAUGAUAUGAAUUAUGUGCAAGUAUGUGUUCUUAUGUUGAUGGAUAUGUGGAUUACUCUAUGUUCAUGAUUUGUUAUAUGUUAUGAUAUAUGAAGCGUUUAAGUUUUUAGGCUGGAAACCUUAGACCUGAGCCAUAGCUCUACGUUAAGGUAUAACAACGCCACCAACCCAAAGCUUCAUGUAUUAUGACUAAAGAUGUUUUGAGUUAUAUGAGAUGUGAUACAAUGCCUUGAUUGAAUACCAUCAACACGAAUCAUGAACAUGAACAUUGGCAUUUCAGCAUCAGCAUGUAUGCAUGGCAUGUACAGUUAUGUGAUACAUUAUUAUGUGAUAUAAGACCAUGCAUAUGAAUAUGAGAAAAGUUAUGAAAUGCCUUGAAAAGUCUUAUGUAAAGUUAAACAUUUUAAUGACACAAGGCUUAAGCAAAAUGAUAAUAAGAUGUUUAAAAAGGGUGCCACUGUUUUGAUGAAGCAAUCAAGUAAGUUCAGUAAAGAAGACGGAAGUCUAUAAGACUUAUAGUGGCUGCCCACUAGUGUGGGCUAGGUCAGAGUUGACCAUUCAGAUAUGUUUGCCAUGUUUCCGUCUUUCUCCUCCAUAUGUGUAAUAAGUAUGGCAGCUAUGGCAACGAUGAAAUGAGUGUUAUGAUGAGCCUAGCUGAGAUGAUGGCUAGCCGGAGGAGAACCCAUGGGAUUCUAUAUGAUAUGUGUAACAAGCCCUGCAGGCAUUGGCUGAAUCAAACAGUGUGCACAAGAGAUAUUGGGCCCAUAAAAAUGUGGAACUAAAAGAAAGAGCAUAAAAGUAAAGUUUGAAAGUGCAUGAGCAAUAAAUGAAAUGCAUAAGUAUAUAAGUCAGCAUAUUAGUAUAUGUGCACUACAAACUCACGACAUUCAUGUGUAUGUGUAUGCAUGAGAUUUGCUUACUGAGCGUUAGCUCAUUAUGUUAUUUUCCAACAUUUUUCCAGGUGUGGCUUUAGCUGUUGAGCAACUUGUGGAGCACGGACUCAGUAGCAAUGCAAUAAUGGUUUAGAGUUUUCAUAUGGCUGCCUUAAAUUUAAAGUAUUCAUACGUGUAAUAAUUUCUUCUAAUAAGUUUAUAUAAAAGUUUUAAAUUUUUCUGUAUUUCUUCGUAUCAUUUUAUUUAAUUCUUUUGGUCAAGUGCCUUACAUACUCGUAAACCCUAGAAUUACGAGUAUGUGGCAGACGUACCCUACCUUAGGGACGUU
Molecule: long non-coding RNA, 3737 nt
Organism: Humulus lupulus (European hop)
Lineage: Eukaryota; Viridiplantae; Streptophyta; Magnoliopsida; Rosales; Cannabaceae
Exons: 3
Source: RefSeq, a predicted model, not a curated record